Molecule: non-coding RNA, 71 nt
Organism: Podarcis lilfordi (Lilford's wall lizard)
Lineage: Eukaryota; Metazoa; Chordata; Lepidosauria; Squamata; Lacertidae
Source: the annotation of a GenBank genome assembly
GCUCCAUAGCUUAGUGAUAGAAUAUCUGCUUUGCAUGUAGAAGGUCCCAGGUUCAAUCCCCAGCAUCACCA